GGAUGUAAAAGCAAUCUGACGGUGACAUCUGUCACCCCUUUGAUCUUCACAGUUGAUUAAGCUGUUCUGGCUAGCUGGGUGUGUGGUAUUCCCAAAUCUAUGUGCUCAUUACAGGAGAAAAACUUCCAAUAUAGAUGCGAACCAUUCUUUGGUAUAUGAAUAGCCAUGUUCCCCUGAUAGAGCCGCCAAACAAGAUCUCAAGAAAUAGUAAACCGAGCUGGAGAGACGGCUCACUGAUUAAGAGCAUCUACUGCUCUUAGAGAAGACCUGGGUUUGAU
This 278-nucleotide small nuclear RNA is filed under the name Neotoma lepida (desert woodrat). RNAcentral's name for it is "7SK RNA". It matches the Rfam family "7SK RNA". Rfam says of the family: 7SK was discovered as an abundant small nuclear RNA in the mid-70s but a possible function has only recently been suggested. Two independent studies have found that 7SK RNA binds the CDK9/cyclin T complex (known as elongation factor P-TEFb). P-TEFb activates transcription by phosphorylating the C-terminal domain of RNA polymerase II. Lineage: Eukaryota; Metazoa; Chordata; Mammalia; Rodentia; Cricetidae. The record is from Rfam by way of RNAcentral.